CAGAAUGGUUGCCAAUACUCAAUUAUAAGGCAAAGUAAUGUACAAAAGAUUCAGAUUCAUGCUGCGGGUGGCUUCUCUCGCAGAGGGGUGGAAGGGGAGCUUGCUGUUUCCAAAUCAAAGGCCUGGAGCUGCAGUGAGCAGCGGUGGUGACUCUCAGCUGGAUCACAGGGGCACGUCUAAGAUGGUUACUGCUGACUCCUUAAUCACUUCAGCAUGUACUUGGUGGUGGCUAAGGUUUGAAUUUGCAUUUGCUUGAUGGCAAUAAGCAAAAAGGGAGCAC
Camelus dromedarius (Arabian camel) is the source of this 280-nucleotide long non-coding RNA. RefSeq lists it as uncharacterized. The record is from RefSeq and is a predicted model, not a curated record. The transcript has 3 exons. NCBI's taxonomy places the organism in Eukaryota, Metazoa, Chordata, Mammalia, Artiodactyla, Camelidae.